Long non-coding RNA from Solanum tuberosum (potato), 2794 nucleotides. RefSeq lists it as uncharacterized. NCBI's taxonomy places the organism in Eukaryota, Viridiplantae, Streptophyta, Magnoliopsida, Solanales, Solanaceae. The transcript has 5 exons. The record is from RefSeq and is a predicted model, not a curated record.
GGGUGCUUAACAUUUAUUCAAGGAUUACAGAACGCAUACAUACUUAUUCUAGAAAAUGUUUUCCAUGUUUUCCAAAAUAUAUUGGUGUUAUAGAAGUGAUGACUGUGUUGAUAGCAAAUCGAUUUGUCUUACAAUGAUUUCUACUUUACUGAUAAAACUGCAAAUAUUAGUCUAUUUGUUGUUGGUUAAGAAAACCUCUGUGCGACUUGGUUGAAAAGAAAAAAAUAGGUAUUGAUUGUUACUGAAAAAAAUGAGGGUGUUGUAGAUGACAAACAGAUGGAGUAAGUAACCAACCUCUUUUCCUGGAUAAAUCAUCUUUGAUAUAUUUUUAUUGAACUCAAUGUUUUCUUGUGCAUUGCUGCAUAGGUCCUCUGUGUAGUUAUUUAGAUAAUGAAGAUAGAUAUGGUGCUGAAGUUGGUCUAAAUGGAAUAGAAAAGAUAUUGAAGCUUGGAGAAGAAAAAAAGGUGAAUAAUGGGUGACAAUAAUGUAUAUGUUCAAAAGAUCAUACGAACUAAGGCUAUGCAAUGAGAUACUGGCAAUCAAUACAAUCUGUUGAUCCUACCGCUGUACCUGUUCCUCCUCGGGGUUCCAAUACCCAAAUGCAGUGCAUGCCAGCAGCCUUGACUGCUAAGGAUGUUAAGUGGCUCUGCGUCAGGCUCGUAUGUUAAGUAUGUUAUUGAGCAAGAAGAUCUCAGAGUUGAGAUUGAUCGCCUUAAGGAUGAACUGGCCCAAGAAAAUAAGAUGGAAUGUGAAGAGUUGCCCGUUAAUGGGACAUGAAACCAGGGAGGUGAAACAUGUGGUGAAUCCUUUCGAUCGGUGAUUCCUCAUAAUUUCAAAUGUUCCCUGGAGAUGCACCUCAAGCAAACCAUAUUUGGCAAAGCUACAGAAGAAGGUGAAACAUUAAGGCAUUGCCUACUAGAUAUCGAGGAUCUUAUAAAGAAGAGAGGUCAUCGCUGAGGCCUCAUAGUAUGCAGCUGCUCUGGAAACAGAAAAGGCGAUAAAAUGCUUUUCUUGAUCAGAUGAAAAUGAAUGAGGUUCUUUUGACACUGUUAUAAAGAUAUGCAUUUUGCAAAAUUAGGAUUCAAUUGAAUAUUCUGCAAAAGGAAAGCCACCAUCUAUAAGCUAAUUUUUUGCUGCAUGAUUUAGUUUCUCCCGGAGUUGAGAGGAAAAUUCAAUAAGGGAGCAGAUGAAUUAUACUAGUUGUGCAACAUCUAUGAGUUAAUAUCUCAGGUGAUUAAUUGUUCUUUUCAUAAAAAGUCACUCAAGUGAAGUUUGUUAUAGUGUGUCACCCAUAGAUGAGUGGUCAGUUAGAGUGAAUUAUCCAGGCCUUCGAGGAUGUGUUAUGAGUAUGUGUGAGGGAUUUUGAGUGGUCAUUGGGAUUCGUUCUUGUAAAUUGUAGACGUUGCAUGAGGAAAGGGUAAUCACUUUAGCAUUCAGGAAAACCUGUUUAAUUUGAGGCCUUGUAUGAUAAGAUAUGACAUUCACUGAUUGGUUAGUUCAGUGUUUUCAGGCUCAGGAUAUGAGUGCAUACUAGAUGGGAUAUUCUUUGAUGACUCAAGUCGAUUUAGAAUUGGGUCUCACACUUUAGGGUAAAUUAAAGAUUUGUGUUAAAUAAUGGAUUUGUUACUUAGAUUCAUGGCUGGUAAGGGAGUUUGUGGAAUGCAUCGUCUAUGAAAGACGUUAUGAGUUUUGGGAAGGAGGGAAAGCUAAGUCCAAGGUUCAUUGUCUCAGUUGUUGUUUUGCAGCAUGUAGGUGAGAAGCUAGGUGAUUCGAUUUUACUUCUUGGUUUGGCAAUUAUGCAUCUGGAGUUUCAGGUUCUAAUGUUGAAAGAAGAUUAUUCUAAUGUGGAUGAGACCAUUUGGGAGGUUGAGACAGUCAUUUAGAGUAGAUAUCCUCAGUUUUUUGACACUUCAGGUUUGGCAAUUAUGCAUCUGGAGUUUCAGGUUCUAAUGUUGAAAGAAGAUUAUUCUAAUGUGGAUGAGGCCAUUUGGGAGAUUGAGACAAUCAUUUAGAGCAGAUAUCUUCAGUUUUUCGACACUUCAGGUCCACGACAUGUGUGCUAAAGUCGGAGUAGAUCCUUAGCAUCAAACAAAGGUUUCUGGGCAGAACUGUUAGCGAUUGGUAACUUCUAUUAUGAACUUGUGCAUCAGAGGAACACUCGCUCACGCUUCCUACACCAUUGUGUAGUAAAACUGUAGAUAAAGUUUGGUCAGAAAUUCAUAAGACCCAACAAGAGCAGCAACAGAACAACGGGUGCAGCAUACAGAACACAGGCCAAUGUUUCGACAGGUCCUUGGCCUUGGAAACUGAUAUGGAAGACAAAACUACGUUUUUACUUGGACAACCCUCAAAGAUGUCAUACUAACUCAGGAUAAUCUAAAAAAAGAAAAGGAACUCACUGGUGAACAGAUGUUAUAUGUGCCAAAAAGACUCAAGAGUCAGCUAACUUUUUUUGUAUUGCCCUGUUGCAGCAAACCUAAAUGUGUCCUAACAGUAAAUGGACAGAGAAGAACAACAGAUACUUUGAUGGGAUUUCAACUCCUAAAUGUGUUCUAAAAUCUAAGUGUUGGAGGCUUGGAGCAAGUUAUCCCAAGUUAAUGAUGCUAUCCCGUUUUAGAAUUUUUUAGCUCCCUCUAGUGGCUUAGCAGCCAUUAACUUCUCCUCAUGAUUUUGAACUCCCAGCUUCGAUUAGUUUUUUUAGUUUCUUUGUAAAGCUUUAUGCAUCUUUCUAGAUGCUUUACAAUACAACUUACUUCGUGAAGAAUGGUUCUUUUUAUAGGUGUUUUUCUUUUUU